RNAcentral lists this ribosomal RNA (468 nucleotides) under uncultured bacterium. RNAcentral's name for it is "partial 16S ribosomal RNA". It matches the Rfam family "Bacterial small subunit ribosomal RNA", at positions 28 to 507 of the family's 1533-position model. The record is from RNAcentral.
GACGAACGCUGGCGGCGUGCUUAACACAUGCAAGUCGAACGGAAAGGCCCUGCUUUUGUGGGGUGCUCGAGUGGCGAACGGGUGAGUAACACGUGAGUAACCUGCCCUUGACUUUGGGAUAACUUCAGGAAACUGGGUCUAAUACCGGAUAGGAGCUCCUGCUGCAUGGUGUGGGUUGGAAAGUUUCGGCGGUUGGGGAUGGACUCGCGGCUUAUCAGCUUGUUGGUGGGGUAGUGGCUUACCAAGGCUUUGACGGGUAGCCGGCCUGAGAGGGUGACCGGCAAGAUUGAGACUGAGAUACGGCACAGACACCUAAGGGAGGCAGCAGUGGAGAAGAUUGCACAAUGGGCGGAAGCAUGAUGCAGCAAAGCCGCGUGAGGGAUGACGGCCUUCGGGUUGUAAACCGCAUUCGCCGGUGACGAAGCGUGAGUGACGGUAAUGGGUGAAGAAGCACCGGCUAACUACGUG